GGAGGAUCCGAGCGUUAUCCGGAUUUAUUGGGUUUAAAGGGAGCGUAGGCCGGAGAUUAAGCGUGUUGUGAAAUGUAGACGCUCAACGUCUGCACUGCAGCGCGAACUGGUUUCCUUGAGUACGCACAAAGUGGGCGGAAUUCGUGGUGUAGCGGUGAAAUGCUUAGAUAUCACGAAGAACUCCGAUUGCGAAGGCAGCCUGCUAAGCCGCCACUGACGUUGAGGCUCGAAAGUGCGGGUAUCAAACAGGAUUAGAUACCCUGGUAGUCCGCACGGUAAACGAUGGAUACUCGCUGUUGGCGAUAGACAGUCAGCGGCCAAGCGAAAGCGUUAAGUAUCCCACCUGGGGAGU
RNAcentral lists this ribosomal RNA (352 nucleotides) under uncultured bacterium. RNAcentral describes it as "bacterial SSU rRNA". It matches the Rfam family "Bacterial small subunit ribosomal RNA", at positions 527 to 881 of the family's 1533-position model. The record is from RNAcentral.